Molecule: transfer RNA, 76 nt
Filed under: Alteromonadaceae bacterium
Lineage: Bacteria; Pseudomonadati; Pseudomonadota; Gammaproteobacteria; Alteromonadales; Alteromonadaceae
Description: tRNA-Leu
Rfam family: tRNA
About the family: Transfer RNA (tRNA) molecules are approximately 80 nucleotides in length. Their secondary structure includes four short double-helical elements and three loops (D, anti-codon, and T loops).
Source: RNAcentral
GGGUGGUUAACUUAGUUGGGAGAGCAUUGCCCUUAAAAGGCGAGGGUCGCAGGUUCGAACCCUGCACCACCCACCA